CAGCCGCCACGGUAAUACGUAGGUCCCGAGCGUUGUCCGGAUUUAUUGGGCGUAAAGCGAGCGCAGGCGGUUAGAUAAGUCUGAAGUUAAAGGCUGUGGCUUAACCAUAGUACGCUUUGGAAACUGUUUAACUUGAGUGCAAGAGGGGGGAGCGGAAUUCCAUGUGUAGCGGUGAAAUGCGUAGAUAUAUGGAGGAACACCGGUGGCGAAAGCGGCUCUCUGGCUUGUAACUGACGCUGAGGCUCGAAAGCGUGGGGAGCAAACAGGAUUAGAUACCCGCGUAGUCCCUGUCUCUUAUACC
RNAcentral lists this ribosomal RNA (301 nucleotides) under uncultured bacterium. RNAcentral's name for it is "partial 16S ribosomal RNA". It matches the Rfam family "Bacterial small subunit ribosomal RNA", at positions 509 to 808 of the family's 1533-position model. The record is from RNAcentral.